RNAcentral lists this ribosomal RNA (494 nucleotides) under uncultured bacterium. RNAcentral describes it as "bacterial SSU rRNA". It matches the Rfam family "Bacterial small subunit ribosomal RNA", at positions 8 to 521 of the family's 1533-position model. The record is from RNAcentral.
AGAGUUUGAUCCUGGCUCAGAGUGAACGCUGGCGGCGUGCCUAACACAUGCAAGUCGAACGAUGAUGGAGAGCUUGCUCUCCUGAUUAGUGGCGCACGGGUGAGUAUACCAUAGAUAAUGUACCCCUUAGUUCGGGAUAGCCACUGGAAACGGUGAUUAAUACCGGAUACUCCUUCUCAUUAUAAGAUGAGUCGGGAAAGUUUUUUCGCUAAGGGAUCAGUCUAUGUCCUAUCAGCUAGUUGGUGAGGUAAUGGCUCACCAAGGCUAUGACGGGUAUCUGGUUUGAGAGGAUGAUCAGACACACUGGAACUGAGACACGGUCCAGACUCCUACGGGAGGCAGCAGUGAGGAAUAUUGCACAAUGGAGGAAACUCUGAUGCAGCAACGCCGCGUGGAGGAUGACGCAUUUCGGUGUGUAAACUCCUUUUAAGAGGGAAGAUUAUGACGGUACCUCUUGAAUAAGCACCGGCUAACUCCGUGCCAGCCGCCGCGGU